Molecule: transfer RNA, 61 nt
Filed under: Orosius orientalis
Lineage: Eukaryota; Metazoa; Arthropoda; Insecta; Hemiptera; Cicadellidae
Description: tRNA-Ala
Source: RNAcentral
AGGGUUAUAUUUAAUUAUAAUAUUUGAUUUGCAGUCAAAAGGUAUCCAAGGGUUAACCUUU